UUUCUUAACCACUUAGGUAAUGAGAGCAAGGCAGAUGGACUAAAGAAUGGGACAGUAAGGUGCAACACAAAAAAGAAGAAAAUAUGAACAAGGGCAACAGCAGUCCUGACAAUGAUGAAAGUUUCCACAUGGAUGUAACAACAAAUUCUGAAGAGAUUUACUCCCUGAAUCAGAUCAAUGACUGUCUAUUUGCAGACUCCUUGGAAACUGGGGAAAGAAAUCUACAUCUCCAGUUCCUUCUUCUUACAACGGUGGAAUAAUGCAUCACAGAGCAAUGCACCUGAAAAAGUCCUUCAUUCUGUGUCAGAUCAGACAUAGUUGAGAUUCGUAGUAAGUGGGGCAGGACGGUAACAGUAAUUUUGACACCUGAGGUGAAAAACAGCAUCGACCUCCUCAACAAGACAAGGAAAGCCGUGGGUAUUCCAGAUGAAAAUCCAUUUAAUAGUUGCUAGGUCAAACAGACAGUCAAAUUUGCUAUGGAAGGCGGCCCACCUCUGUCAAACCUUACAGAGAUAGCCAGUACCAAACUCAGAAAGUAUAUGGCAACCAUUUCCCAAGUAGUCUCUCUCAAAGGAACAGAGGUAGACCGACUAAGCAAGACACCUUGGUCAUGAAAUCCAAGUGCAUGGAGACUUCUACUGUCUUCACGAAUCUGCAGUUGAAAUUUCCAAAGUGAGCAAGCUUCUUCUUACAGUCGGUCAAGGUGAAACAAGAAAGUUCACAAGGAAAACACUGGCGGAAAAUGACUGAAAUGAGUAAGAUGCCCAUGUUCUAUGUACAGAAGAAGAGAAGGAGGCAGUUUUUAAGCACCCUAGUUCAUUUGUCAGAGAAAGACGCUUUCCGGGAAAAUUGGACUGUAAGAACUGUAUUUUAAAAGUAAAUGGUGCAUUAGAUGGUAGGGACUGGCAUGCUGUUAAAUAUUUUGUUAAGAAUCAGAUUGACAUUGGAGAAAGAGGGUUCUUGCCGCUUAAAAUGGCUAAGUGAACUGAUCUUUCCCCACCCUUAAUGACAACCCUUAAUACCUUGCUAAAAUUCAACCUCAAUAGCUGCAAGGACAACAAAAAACAGUAAUUCAUGAUAAUUAAGGGAUAUUUUGCUGUUUCCAAACAUCUCCAAUAUUUGUUAAAAAAACUUACCGUCACAGUUUGCGUGGGUACCCUGUGAUUCCACGACAAAUAGAAUAUGUUAAAUUCUACCAUAAAUUUUUGGAUAUAGGCCAAUCCCAAAAUACCCCCCCCCCCCCACAGUGUAAGCCACCAAUCCUCCAUUAAAUUGGCUUUGUCAAGUGUAAAAUGAUAUACACUGUAGUAUUGACAUCAAAACUUUUAAAAGUCUUAGAAUCAAUAUGUUAUCCACUUGUAAUUCCAACUCAAAAUUUUAUAAUUGGACAAAAUUUAAAAAUAAGCUUCCUUAAAAAUAGGAUUUUAGGGUUGUGUCCAGAAUUUUUACAUUAUUUCAACUUUCUCAAAUUCAGUCAUUGAUAAUUAUGGAGGUAGAUUUCAG
This is a non-coding RNA of Pocillopora verrucosa, 1503 nucleotides long. NCBI's taxonomy places the organism in Eukaryota, Metazoa, Cnidaria, Anthozoa, Scleractinia, Pocilloporidae. The record is from RefSeq and is a predicted model, not a curated record.